This 5180-nucleotide long non-coding RNA is filed under the name Nicotiana tabacum (common tobacco). RNAcentral describes it as "long non-coding RNA (NTAB_LNC007354)". The record is from RNAcentral. Lineage: Eukaryota; Viridiplantae; Streptophyta; Magnoliopsida; Solanales; Solanaceae.
GAGAAACUAAACCCUAACAUGGAAUUAACUUUGAACUAAACAUAGUUGAACAAAUAAUAUAUAACUUUGAACCCUAAUAUAUUGGAAUUGAACCCCUAAAAUCACUGUUUUUCGGAAAAAUAAAAGAAAGGAAAGAGAAACUAACCUUGGGAGUGGAGGUCGCCGGAAUUUGCUGCUGCCGUCAGGGGUCGCCGGUGGCGGGGGUGUCGCUGCUGCUGGAAGUCGGAGGGGAGAAGAGAUUUUGAGUGUUAGAGGAGAAAGAUUUUAAUUUGGGGAAUAAUUUUGAAAGAAUGGACCUGAAACCCGUUUUGGCUCAUGUUAAAAACUUGGUCGCUAUUUUGGUAGCCAAAUUAUUUUUGACUGUUUGACCAAAAUAGCGACCAACGUUGGUCUCCAUUUUUGACCGUUUGAUCAAAAUGGCGACCAACUUUGGGGUAUGACGUGGGGUAUGAUGAAUAUGAAUCUAGGAAGAAGAAGAGUUUAGAAGGUAAGAUAGGUGGUGAUGAGCCUUAUUACCUCUCAGAUGAAGCUGCUAGUUUUGAGACAGAUCCAGAUGAUGUUGAUGAUGAAGGUGAAGGGGAGGUUCAACAGAAAGUUAAAGCUAGAAGAAGAAAGAUUAAAAGAAGAGUAAUCUUUGACAAGACUUGCAAGAAAAUUGCAAGUGUGAGAGAUUUCAGAGAAGCUGUAACUAAAUAUGUUGUUCAACAAAAGGUUUCUAUAAAAAAGUAUGUAAAUGAACCUACAAAGGUGAGAGUUAAGUUCAAGAAGGCAUCUUGUUCUUGGCUUCUAGUUGCUAGUUAUGAUUCUAGGACUAAGGAUUUUGUAGUCAAGAACUACAAUCCAGUUCACAAAUGUGACCCUACUAACAGAAACAAGUUAUGUAAUUCAAAGUUCUUGGCUAAAAGGUUCAAUGAGAGGAUAAAAGAACAACCUAACAUUAGAAUAUUCAAGUUUCAAGAGUUGAUUAGAAAGAAAUUAGGAUUAUAUGUUGGGAGGACAGUUUGUAGGAGGGCAAAAAAUAUUAUGUUGAAUGAGAUAAUGGGUGAUCAUAAACUGGAGUAUGGCAGGAUUUUAGAUUAUAGGGAUUGGUUGCUUAGAUCUAAUCCAGGGAGUACAUAUAUAGUGAAACUUAGUGAAGAAACUUUUGAAGGUGGGAAGAAAAUGUUUGUUGGGCUCUACAUUUGUUUUGAUGCAAUGAAGAAGUCAUACUUAGCUGGUUGUAGGCCAUGCAUUGGAUUGGAUGGAAGGGGUAUGUAGAGGCCAACUACUUGUAGCAGUUUGCAAAGAUGGAAAUAAUCAGAUGCUUCUACUUGCUUGGGCUGUUGUUGAGAUUGAAAAUAUGCACACUUGGAGGUGGUUUGUCAACCUUUUAAAGAGUGAUCUUCAGCUUGGAGAUGGUACAAAUCUGACCAUAAUAACAGACAUGCAAAAGGAAAUCACUUGUAGUUUAUUGUUAUUUUUCUAUUGCUAUUUCACUUAAAACUAACUACCAUUAUUCAUUUUCCAGGGGCUUGAGAAUGCUAUAGCAGACCUACUUCCAAAUUCUGAACAUAGAAUGUGUGCAAGGCACAUCCUAGCUAACUGGUCUAAGAAAUGGAGGGGCAUAAAGAGAAGAAACUGCUUUUGGAGGUGUGCAAGGUCUACCUAUGAGUGGGAGUUGAAGAAAAAUCUGGAUGACAUGAAGAAAUUGACGACUAAGAUAGUUGAUGCACUGUUGUAUUACAACAUUGAAAGAUGGAGUAAGGUGUAUUUCAACAUAUUCUACAAGUCUGAUAGUGUUGACAAUAAUAUGGCAGAAUGUUUCAAUGCUUGGAUUAUGGCAGCAAGGUAGAAGACUAUAGUGACAAUGCUUGAAGAAAUAAGGGUGAAGAUGAUGAACAAAAUAGGUCAGCUCAGACAGUUUGGAAACACUUGGAUUACUGAUUUUUCACCAAUGGCCAUGAAAGUCUUGGAAGAGAACACAGAAAGGUCAAUGAAAUGUAACAUUUUCUGGAAUGGUGAGCAUGGAUUUGAAGUGAAGCAAGGAUCAGGUGCAAGUGAAGUGAAAUAGCAUGUGCUCAUGCAGUUGCUGCCCUGCAUUAUAAAAAUUUGGAGCCUAUGAACUAUAUUUCUCACUGGUUCAGUAAUGCCACUUACAUGAAAACAUACAGUUACUUUUUUCAGCCUGUCUUGGGUAUGAAUAUAUGGCCAAAGUCACAAAACCCAACUGUUAUACCACCUCAUGUCAAGAAAAUGCCUGGAAGGCCAAAGAAGAUUAGAAGAAAAGAGCCUGGUGAAAAUAAAACAGGAAAAUUGUCCAAAAGUGGAGUGGAAAUGACAUGUAGCAAUUGUCAUAACAAGGGUCAUAACAAGAGGGGCUAUGCAAAGGAUGCUAGAAGUAAUACUGCUGCAACUUCAGCAAGUUAUGUGCCUACAAGUGUUGGUAGUUCAAAGCCACCAAAGCAAAGUACUAGAAGAGGAAGGGGUAGGCCAAAAGGUUCUAAAGAAAAGGUGAAGUUCUUCCCUUUAAUGUCUUCUUUCUCUUUUUUAAAUAAUUACCAGAUUUUUACUUUUGAUUAUUUCAUGUAGGAUGUUGGUACUAGCACUGAUGUAAGAACACAACCAAGGAUGGUUGGGAUGGGAGUUUUACACACUCAAAGUGGCUUCAAAAUUCAAAAUGUAAGUCUAACACAAACUCUCAUAUUUAGGUGAUUUCAUUUGUAUGAUUUUCUGUUGGGUUUUGGCAGUCUGGAAUGUCAUUUACAAACUUUAAGAAUGUGAGGUCCUCGGCAGAAGUAACUGGAGAUCUAGGACAUCAACCAACACUGACAUCAAGGCAGCUUCAACAAUUGAGAGGCAAGAAGCUCAUUCAAACAAGGUCUAGGGCUGCUAAGUUGAGCCAGGAAAGCACCACUGCAAAUCAAUCCAGUUGAUGAAGCUAUGAUUUUGUUGAUGACUGUAUUGUAAUAGACUGCAUUAUGCUAAAAUUUUAAGCAGCUAUAGACUGCACCUGUAUUUUGAUAAGGAUUUUUAGGUAGCCAUAGACUGCAUUUCGCUGCUGCUAUUCUGUAUUGUUAGAUUUGGUGUCUGUUUUGCUGCUGCUACAAUGACAACAAACAGCUGUUUUGUUAACUCAUUUUGUGACUUUAUGCAACAAAUGCAUAUAUGAUGUUUUGGUGAUCUAUGAGUUGUACAAGUUGAUAGUAUGUGUGUUUGCCAGGAAAUGAAAUACUUUGGUUGGUGACAAGGAAACUUAGUACUGUUGUGUGUCUAUUGUUGAUUGCCAAUUUCUGAAGUUUAUGUAGUAUGAAGUUUACUUCCCAAUAUAAAAACAGCGCUUCUUUAGAAACAAUAAUUGAUAAGUAACAACAACAUAUACAUAUUGAGAUGAGAAUACUACAAAAUAUUGAAAUGACAAAACUACAAAAGGCUUACAUUCAAAUCAAAGGUCCAUUGUAAACAUACAAAAUAAAACCUACAAGCAACAUCUACAUUCAUAUUGAGAUGACAAAACUAGAUUCACAAUGGCAACCUCAUUGCAUCUUCUUUCAAUGAGAUUCCUGGAUACCCACAAGCAACAAGAAUAAUACAUAUCCCCAAUAUAAUGAACCAAAGUACAUUUUCCCUAGCCUUUGACUUAGAUAAUUUACUCUUCCACUUCUUUUCCUUCUCUUUCAUCUUCUCCAUAUUGUCACACCCCUUUUUACAAACUUCACUAACCCUCUUAAAUUAAUAAAAAGAUUUAGUAAAACUUGAAAAAGGUUUUCAAUCCGAAAAGUGACAAAAUUAUGUGUUCAAAAGGAUUAACUCAGAGUCGCCACCUGACAUUUGAUUUCAGUGUGUCAGGUCACCGUUUUUUCUAAAAAUAAUUUUUUUCCUUUCAAAACACUAUAGACUCUAAAAACUAAGUCUACACCAAAGAUUCGGGUAAGGGGGUUCAUUUGACUCGGGGAGAAGGUGUUAGGCACUCCCCAAGUCCCGUGAAAAUUACGGUUGCGUACUCGAUCUAGUUGGCUUUUAAAAUAUUAAAGUUGAGGUAAAACUAAACACAGAAAAGAAAAACAAACACACAAGAGUCUCAAGGUCGUCCCCAGCUAAUAUAAGAAAAAUGAAAAAUGAAAAUAAAAAUAAAAAUAUUAAGAGUUCUACUUUCCGCCUCCAAAUACAAAUACUUCGGGGCAUACCCCGGAUAAAAAUAUAAACAAAUCCUACAAGGCAUUCCCCGAAUAAUAAACUAAAAAAACGACCUCUCGCCUCAAAUAGAAAUGAGAUAAAACCUAAGGUUUGUCUACCCAAGUGAUGACGGGCUAAGCAUGCUUCUAACGAAAAACGAUAAAUAAAAGCAAUAAUAAAAUAUUCUAAAUCUAAAUUGUCAUUCACAUUUAAUCCCGAAUCCCUCUAUCAACUCUUGAAAUUCAUCAACCAUUUCCAAAUCCCUACGGCCUACUUAUUUCUUAAAAAAUGAUUUAAAUCCAAGUCUUACUUUUAAUUUGGAGUCUCAUCUAAGGUUGAAUUAGAUUUAAAAAACUAAAUCUCGUCUCUUCUUCCAAGCCAACAUGGGGUUACUGGCAGAAUAGUCAAACCAAAGGAACAAGAAUAAGAUAGCAAAUCAACUUUAACCCAUUCAAGACAUAGAGCAUCACAAAAUAACAUAAAUCAGGCAACAAAUCAAACCUUAAUUCAUCCCAAAGUAUAGAGUAAGAUAGAAAAGAGAAUAGACCUUUAAUGGGCUUUUUCCAAUAAUAGAAUCUCCCAGAAUCUGGCGACGAGAACUCGACCGGAGCAGUGAACAAUGAUAGAAAAUGGAACGGCGACCGGAAAACCUCUUGACCGCACCUCAAUCGGAUUCAAACCCAACUCCAACACUUAAAGAAAAAUUCAUUCUCAAGCUCCAAGCUCUGGAAUCGGAAAAUGAACAGAUUCUUUUCAACUCGAUUUUCUCUUCUUUUUUUUUAGCCAAAACCCGACAUUGAAAACAGAAACGAAAAAGCAAUUCGAAUCCAAUUUUCAACCCAGAAAAUAUCCUUUCUCGUUUCUUUGUGUUUAUAUGUGUGUUAAUGUUUACCGGCGAGCUCGUCACUGCCUUGGCGAGAGGAGGAGAACCUGGCGACUUCUGGUGGUCAAAGUUGACGGUUCUCCUGUAAUGGUGCUGCUUUGAAGAAGAAGAUAGCUUGAAAGUCUUUUUUUUUUGUUCGAAGGGC